This 1463-nucleotide ribosomal RNA is filed under the name metagenome. RNAcentral describes it as "bacterial SSU rRNA". It matches the Rfam family "Bacterial small subunit ribosomal RNA". The record is from RNAcentral.
AGAGUUUGAUCCUGGCUCAGGAUGAACGCUAGCGGCGUGCCUAAUGCAUGCAAGUCGAACGGGAUCCCAUAGAUUCGUCUAAGGGUGAGAGUGGCGAACGGGUGAGUAACACGUUGGUGACCUGCCCCAGAGAGGGGGACAACCAGUGGAAACGCUGGCUAAUACCCCGGAUGUCAAGGUUUUUAGAAACCCUUGACUGAAGCUCCGGCGCUCUGGGAGGGGCCUGCGGUCCAUCAGCUUGUUGGUAGGGUAACGGCCUACCAAGGCGAAGACGGAUAGGGGGCGUGAGAGCGUGACCCCCCACACUGGUACUGACACACGGACCAGAUACCUGCGGGUAGCAGCAGCAAGGAAUAUUGCCCAAUGGACGAAAGUCUGAGGCAGCAACGCCGCGUGAAGGAAGAAGGCUUUCGGGUUGUAAACUUCUUUUUUGGGGGAAGAGAAAGGACGGUACCCCAAGAAUAAGAUCCGGCUAACUACGUGCCAGCAGCCGCGGUAAAACGUAGGGAUCGAGCGUUAUCCGGAUUUACUGGGCGUAAAGCGCGUGCAGGCGGCUUACUAAGUCGGACGUGAAAGCUCCUGGCCCAACUGGGAGAGGCCGUUCGAAACUGGAAGACUUGAGGAUGGUAGAGGUAAGUGGAAUUCCCGGUGUAGUGGUGAAAUGCGUAGAUAUCGGGAGGAACACCAGUGGCGAAGGCGGCUUACUGGGCCAUUCCUGACGCUGAGACGCGAAAGCUAGGGGAGAGAACGGGAUUAGAAACCCCGGUAUUCCUAGCCGUAAACGAUGUCAACUAGGUGUAGGGGGUAUCCAACCCCCCUGUGCUGUAGCUAACGCGUUAAGUUGACCGCCUGGGGACUACGGCCGCGAGGCUAAAACUCAAAGGAAUUGACGGGGACCCGCACAAGCAGCGGAGCGUGUGGUUUAAUCCGAGAUACGCGAAGAACCUUACCAGGGUUUGACAUGUACGUGGUAGGAAGGUGAAAGCCGACUGACCCUUCGGGCAGCGUACACAGGUGCUGCAUGGCUGUCGUCAGCUCGUGCCGUGAGGUGUUAGGUUAAGUCCUGUAACGAGCGCAACCCUCGUCGUUAGUUAUACGUGUCUAACGAGACUGCCGGUGAUAAGCCGGAGGAAGGUGGGGAUGACGUCAAGUCAGCAUGGCCUUUAUAUCCUGGGCUACACACACGCUACAAUGGCCGGUACAAUGGGUAGCCAAGCCGCGAGGCGGAGCCAAUCCUUCAAAGCCGGUCUCAGUUCGGAUUGUAGGCUGCAACUCGCCUGCAUGAAGUCGGAGUUGCUAGUAAACGCGCGUCAGCAACAGUGCGUUGAAUACGUUCCCGGGUCUUGUACACACCGCCCGUCACGUCAUGGAAGUUGGCAACGCCUGAAGUCAGUGAGCUAACCCUAACGGGAGGCAGCUGCCCAAGGCGGGGUCGGUAACUGGGACGAAGUCGUAACAAGGUA